This 76-nucleotide transfer RNA is filed under the name Caudoviricetes sp. RNAcentral's name for it is "tRNA-Gln". It matches the Rfam family "tRNA". Rfam says of the family: Transfer RNA (tRNA) molecules are approximately 80 nucleotides in length. Their secondary structure includes four short double-helical elements and three loops (D, anti-codon, and T loops). The record is from RNAcentral. Lineage: Duplodnaviria; Heunggongvirae; Uroviricota; Caudoviricetes.
UGGGGUAUCGCCAAGAGGUAAGGCAACGGACUUUGACUCCGUCAUUCCACUGGUUCGAAUCCAGUUACCCCAGCCA